RNAcentral lists this ribosomal RNA (324 nucleotides) under uncultured soil bacterium. Its description in RNAcentral is "bacterial SSU rRNA". It matches the Rfam family "Bacterial small subunit ribosomal RNA", at positions 26 to 377 of the family's 1533-position model. The record is from RNAcentral.
AGAACGAACGCUGGCGGCAUGCCUAAUACAUGCAAGUCGAACGGACUCUUCGGAGUUAGUGGCGGACGGGUGAGUAACACGUGGGAACGUGCCUUUAGGUUCGGAAUAGCUCCUGGAAACGGGUGGUAAUACCGAAUGUGCCCUUCGGGGGAAAGAUUUAUCGCCUUUAGAGCGGCCCGCGUCUGAUUAGCUUGUUGGUGAGGUAAUGGCUCACCAAGGCUACGAUCAGUAGCUGGUCUGAGAGGAUGACCAGCCACAUUGGGACUGAGACACGGCCCAAACUCCUACGGGAGGCAGCAGGUGGGGAAUCUUGCGCAAGUGGGG